UCAAAUUAUUAAGUGCAAAUGGCGAAUGCCUUGGCACCAGAUGCCGAUGAAGGACGUAGGAGGCUGCGAUAAGCCUCGGGGAGCUGUCAACCGAGCUGUGAUCCGAGGAUUUCCGAAUGGGGAAACCCAACUGGAGUUAUGUCCAGUUAUUUCUGCCUGAAUAUAUAGGGCAGAUAAAGGGAACGGGGGGAAGUGAAACAUCUCAGUACCCCCAGGAAGAGAAAACAACCGUGAUUCCGUUAGUAGUGGCGAGCGAAAGCGGAAGAGGCCAAACCUAAAACGUGUCAAGCCGGCAGGCGUUGCGUUUUGGGUGUUGAGGGACCAGUUCGAUCACUCUGCCGAGUGGUCAAAGAGUCAGAAAUUAGCUAAGUAGAUGAAUGGCGUGGGAAAGCCAAUCACAGAGGGUGAGAAUCCCGUAGUCGAAACUUAGUUAACUCUUUACUGUUAUCCCAAGUAAUACCGAACUCGAGGAAUUCGGUAUGAAUCUGGCGGGACCACCCGCUAAGCCUAAAUACUCUCUGAUGACCGAUAGCGGACUAGUACCGUGAGGGAAAGGUGAAAAGAACCCCGCAAGGGGAGUGAAAUAGAAUCUGAAACCGUGUGCAUACAAGCCGUUGGAGCGACGUAAGUUGUGACAGCGUGCCUUUUGAAGAAUGAGUCUACGAGUUAGUGUCGUGUAGCAAGGUUAACCCGUCGAGGGGAAGCCGUAGCGAAAGCGAGUCUGAAUAGGGCGCUUGAGUUGCACGAUCUAGACCCGAAGCGAGGUGAUCUACGCAUGGCCAGGUUGAAGCGCGGGUAAGACCGCGUGGAGGACCGAACCCACUAAUGUUGAAAAAUUAGGGGAUGAGCUGUGUGUAGGGGUGAAAGGCCAAUCAAACUUCGUGAUAGCUGGUUCUCUCCGAAAUGCAUUUAGGUGCAGCGUUGCGUGUUUCUUACCGGAGGUAGAGCUACUGGAUGGUCGAGGGGUCCUACAAGAUUACCAACAUCAGCCAAACUCCGAAUGCCGGUAAGUGAGAGCGCAGCAGUGAGACUGUGGGGGAUAAGCUUCAUGGUCGAGAGGGAAACAACCCAGAAUAGCAACUAAGGUCCCAAAGCCUGUGCUAAGUGGAAAAGGAUGUGAAGUCGCAUAGACAACCAGGAGGUUGGCUUAGAAGCAGCCACCCUUAAAAGAGUGCGUAAUAGCUCACUGGUCAAGUGAUUUCGCGCCGACAAUGUAACGGGGCUCAAGCACAGCACCGAAGUUCUAUCAUUCAAGCACUACCCCGAUCGCAAGAUCCAGGGGCUUGGAUGGGUAGGAGAGCGUCGUGUGGCUGGUGAAGCGGCGGAGGAAUCCAGCCGUGGAAGCCACACGAGUGAGAAUGUAGACAUGAGUAGCGAGAGAUGGGUGAGAAACCCAUCCGCCGAAAGACCAAGGGUUCCUGGGCCAGGCUAAUCCGCCCAGGGUAAGUCGGGAACUAAGACGAGGCCGUCAGGCGUAGUCGAUGGACAACGGGUUGAUAUUCCCGUACCCGCGUAAGUUCGCCCAUGACGAACCUUCUAAUGCUAAGUUUUCGAAGCUGUAUUGGCGUAAGUCGAUAUGGUGGAGGGAACGACCCGGUGAAGUAGUAGUUAAGCAAUGGUGUGACACAGGAAGGUAGUCCAACCCGGGCGAUGGUUGUCCCGGGGUAAGUGUGUAGGGAGUUACGUAGGCAAAUCCGCGUAACGUUUAACUGAGACACGAUGCCGAGCCGAAUGGCGAAGUGGAUGAUCCUAUGCUGUCAAGAAAAGCAUCUAGCGAGAACUUAAGUGGCCCGUACCGCAAACCGACACAGGUGGGUGGGUGUAAAUGCACCAAGGCGCGCGAGAGAGACCUCUCUAAGGAACUCGGCACAUUAGCCCCGUAACUUCGGGAAAAGGGGUGCUCGCUUCGGCGAGCCACAGUAAAUUGCGUUUAGCGACUGUUUAACAAAAACACAGCACUCUGCCACGUCGUUAAGACAACGUAUAGGGUGUGACAAGUGACCAAUGCGGAAAGAUCAAGGCAAGUUGUUAGCCGCAAGGCGAAGCUCCGAACCUAAGUCCCCGUGAAUGUCGGCCGUAACUAUAACGGUCCUAAGGUAGCGAAAUUCCUUGUCGGGUAAGUUCCGACCUGCACGAAUCUUGUAACGACUUCCCAGCUGUCUCAACCGCGAACUCGGCUCGUAUCGUGACUGGGAAACAGAUCGGAAGAGCACACGUCUGAACUCCAGUCACCGGCUAUGAUCUCGUAUGCCGUCUUCUGCUUGAAAAAAAAAACAAAAA
This 2280-nucleotide ribosomal RNA is filed under the name freshwater metagenome. RNAcentral describes it as "bacterial LSU rRNA". It matches the Rfam family "Bacterial large subunit ribosomal RNA". The record is from RNAcentral.